RNAcentral lists this ribosomal RNA (695 nucleotides) under uncultured bacterium. RNAcentral describes it as "bacterial SSU rRNA". It matches the Rfam family "Bacterial small subunit ribosomal RNA", at positions 32 to 715 of the family's 1533-position model. The record is from RNAcentral.
AACGCUAGCUACAGGCUUAACACAUGCAAGUCGAGGGGCAGCAUUUUAGUUUGCUUGCAAACUAAAGAUGGCGACCGGCGCACGGGUGAGUAACACGUAUCCAACCUGCCGAUAACUCGGGGAUAGCCUUUCGAAAGAAGGAUUAAUAUCCGAUAGCAUAUUGAGAUCGCAUGAUUUUGAUAUUAAAGAAUUUCGGUUAUCGAUGGGGAUGCGUUCCAUUAGUUUGUUGGCGGGGUAACGGCCCACCAAGACUACGAUGGAUAGGGGUUCUGAGAGGAAGGUCCCCCACAUUGGAACUGAGACACGGUCCAAACUCCUACGGGAGGCAGCAGUGAGGAAUAUUGGUCAAUGGACGAGAGUCUGAACCAGCCAAGUAGCGUGAAGGAUGACUGCCCUAUGGGUUGUAAACUUCUUUUAUAUGGGAAUAAAGUAUUCCACGUGUGGGAUUUUGUAUGUACCAUAUGAAUAAGGAUCGGCUAACUCCGUGCCAGCAGCCGCGGUAAUACGGAGGAUCCGAGCGUUAUCCGGAUUUAUUGGGUUUAAAGGGAGCGUAGGCCGUCUGUUAAGCGUGUUGUGAAAUGUAGAUGCUCAACAUCUGAAUUGCAGCGCGAACUGGCAGACUUGAGUGUGCGCAACGUAGGCGGAAUUCGUGGUGUAGCGGUGAAAUGCUUAGAUAUCACGAAGAACUCCGAUUG